Molecule: long non-coding RNA, 682 nt
Filed under: Musa acuminata (dwarf banana)
Lineage: Eukaryota; Viridiplantae; Streptophyta; Magnoliopsida; Zingiberales; Musaceae
Description: long non-coding RNA (MACU_LNC000489)
Source: RNAcentral
GGCGGGUGCAGCAUCGGAGCGCGCCCUGUUGAUCUCUACCUCCGUGGCCUCUCCGCUCUCGGCGCUGUCGUGGAACUGAGUUAAGUCAAUUCUUGGCUUUGCCUUCGUGAUUACCUAUAGCUGCUGUGUUUCAUAGCACUUCGAGGGAGGAUUGCCACAAUUCACAUCAACAAGAAAAUAAAUGAAAUCAAGAACGAAAUCCCAAACCAUUUCUAAGCCAUUAAGCAUCUGACAUGCGUUUUUGCACUUGAACAGGCAUGGGAAAGUGCAUGUGAAGGCAGCAAAUGGCAGAGGACUCACCGGAGGACGGUUCCAUCUCGAUUACCCGAGUGUUGGCGCAAGUGAAACCCUCAUGAUGGCGGCUUCAAUGGCAGAGGGAGUGUCCGUGCUCACCAACGUAGCUCAGGUUCCAACUCUCAAAACACAUCAAGUUUUCGUUGUAUCUCCCGACUAAAAUAGGCUACUACUCGUUCCUUCUCCAGGAACCCGAAGUGGCAGACCUCGCUCGGUUCCUCGUCGCCUGCGGGGCGCAGAUCAAAGGGGUUGGCACUCGCACGCUUGUCAUCGACGGUAGAAGGUCGUUGCAUGGAGCUCAGUUCACCGUGAUACCGGACAGAAUAGAAACCGGCACUUUCAUGGUUGCAGCAGCAAUUACCCGAUCUUGUGUUUCGUUGUCCCCUGU